Non-coding RNA from Sporosarcina psychrophila, 104 nucleotides. NCBI's taxonomy places the organism in Bacteria, Bacillati, Bacillota, Bacilli, Caryophanales, Caryophanaceae. The record is from Rfam.
AUCCACCGCUAGGGGUGCUCUAACAGAGCUGAGAGAGGCAUGUGCCUUGACCCUUAUAACUUGAACUGGUUAAUACCAGCGUAAGGAAGAGGUGCUGACACAAU